Molecule: ribosomal RNA, 468 nt
Filed under: uncultured bacterium
Lineage: Bacteria
Description: partial 16S ribosomal RNA
Rfam family: Bacterial small subunit ribosomal RNA
Source: RNAcentral
GACGAACGCUGGCGGCGUGCUUAACACAUGCAAGUCGAACGGAAAGGCCCUGCUUUUGUGGGGUGCUCGAGUGGCGAACGGGUGAGUAACACGUGAGUAACCUGCCCUUGACUUUGGGAUAACUUCAGGAAACUGGGGCUAAUACCGGAUAGGAGCUCCUGCUGCAUGGUGGGGGUUGGAAAGUUUCGGCGGUUGGGGAUGGACUCGCGGCUUAUCAGCUUGUUGGUGGGGUAGUGGCUUGCCAAGGCUUUGACGGGUAGCCGGCCUGAGAGGGUGACCGGCCACAUUGGGACUGAGAUACGGCACAGACUCCUACGGGAGGCAGCAGUGGGGAAUAUUGCACAAUGGGCGGAAGCCUGAUGCAGCAACGCCGCGUGCGGGAUGACGGCCUUCGGGUUGUAAACCGCUUUCGCCUGUGACGAAGCGUGAGUGACGGUAGUGGGUAAAGAAGCACCGGCUAACUACGUG